CCUACGGGGGGCUGCAGUGAGGAAUAUUGGUCAAUGGGCGGAAGCCUGAACCAGCCAAGUAGCGUGCGGGAUGAAGGCCCUACGGGUCGUAAACCGCUUUUGUCCGGGGAUAACACCCUCCCCUUGUGGAGUUUUGCAGGUACCGUGCGAAUAAGGGCCGGCUAAUUCCGUGCCAGCAGCCGCGGUAAUACGGAAGUCCCGAGCGUUAUCCGGAUUCAUUGGGCUAAAAGGGAGCGUAGGCGGACGUUCAAGUCAGCUGUAAAAUCGCGGGGCUCAACCGCUCCCCGCAGUUGAAACUGGGCGCCUUGAGUUCACAACAGGCAGGCGGAAUUCGUGGUGUAGCGGUGAAAUGCAUAGAUAUCACGAGGAACCCCGAUUGCGAAGGCAGCAUGCCGGGGUGCGACUGACGCUGAGGCUCGAAGGUGCGGGUAUCAAACAGGAUUAGAUACCCUAGUAGUC
Molecule: ribosomal RNA, 459 nt
Filed under: uncultured bacterium
Lineage: Bacteria
Description: partial 16S ribosomal RNA
Rfam family: Bacterial small subunit ribosomal RNA
Source: RNAcentral